Molecule: ribosomal RNA, 459 nt
Filed under: uncultured bacterium
Lineage: Bacteria
Description: partial 16S ribosomal RNA
Rfam family: Bacterial small subunit ribosomal RNA
Source: RNAcentral
CCUACGGGUGGCAGCAGUGAGGAAUAUUGGUCAAUGGCCGAGAGGCUGAACCAGCCAAGUCGCGUGAGGGAUGACGGCCCUACGGGUUGUAAACCCCUUUUGUUGGGGAGCAAAGAGAGUCACGUGUGGCUCAUUGAGAGUACCCGAAUAAAAAGCAGCGGCUAACUCAGUGCCAGCAGGCGCGGUAAUACGGAGGAUGCGAGCGGUAUCCGGGUUUAUUGGGUGUAAGGGGUGCUCAGGCGGUGGUGCAAGGCAGUGGUCAAAUUGGGGGGAUCAACCCCGUACUGCCGUUGAAACUGCAUCCCUUGAGUGCGCGAGAAGUAUGCGGAAUGCGUGGUGUAGCGGUGAAAUGCAUAGAUAUCACGCAGAACUCCGAUUGCGAAGGCAGCAUACCGGCGCGCAACUGACGCUCAUGCACGAAAGCGUGGGUAUCGAACAGGAUUAGAUACCCCUGUAGUC